AUAUUUUACAGUUUUUGUCAUCUGGGGAGUCAUUGGUACAUUUGUAAGUGUAGGCCUUUUGGUAUAUGUGAUAUGUCAUCAUAAGAGGAACUAUAGCUAUACACCUAUCCUAGGCAGUGAUUCUCCCACUACAAUACCUAUGGUGGUAUUUAAUCCAACACCCACCUCCUCUCCACAUACACCCAAACCAAAGCCUGUGUCACCCUCUACCCCAGAAAGAGGUGGUGAUUAAGAAGACAGUUUUUCAGAGUUGGAUGAUGA
RNAcentral lists this long non-coding RNA (261 nucleotides) under Mytilus galloprovincialis (Mediterranean mussel). Lineage: Eukaryota; Metazoa; Mollusca; Bivalvia; Mytilida; Mytilidae. The record is from RNAcentral.